AUGGUUAUUUCUUAACUGUAGUAAAACAAUGUUUAAUUUUCGCAAGGGAAGUCUAACGUUUCGUGUUAGAGAAUUAAAGUCUCAUUAAGAAGCUAACGUUAACCUAGUUUAAGUUCCCUGCUGAAAAAACCAGCAAGACCAGCAUAUGUUGUGUUUUGGUGCUGCUUUGCUAGUGAACACCAGCUAAACCAGCAUCAAACCAGCAUUAGCACCAGCAUCCCAUGCUGGUCACCAGCAUAUGUUGUGUUUUGGUGCUGGUAUGCUGGUGACCACCAGCUAAACCAGCAUAGACCAGCAUAAUUCCCAUGCUGGUUUGAUGCUGUUUUUUUCAGCAGGGUUAUCAACAUUAGGGUAACUUAAAGUGGUCAUUGCUUUAUUGUGUGAGCUUAAUAUAGUCUAAAGUUUUAAUAUUUGUCUUAUAAUAUUUGUAAGAAAAUAGGAAUCCCCACUAUUGGGGUACACUAUUUAAGCCUUAUAUUAGAGCUAAUUUACAUUACAUAAUAAACAUUUUCUGUUCUCCCUGCAGAUCCUGUCAAUCGAAUCACCUGUAACAACUUAGAUUUAUUUUAUAAACCCAAAGGCACUUUUAAGAGCCAUUGUUUACUACACAAAGCCAUAGUUCACUGACAAGCUGGGCCAUAUCGCAUACAUAUCGCAGGCGAUAAUUAAUGCGAAAUUGCCCCGGUUGUCAGGUAACUAUGGCUUUGUGUAGUAAAUGCUGCUCCAUCUCAAAGCAGGUGAUGUUGGUGUACUACUAAUCAAAAAACCGGAUUUACUGACGAGAUGCGCAUGACAAUCACGUGCGAUUUAUCGUGCAGCCCUACUUGACAAACUCCAUGCUACUGGAUACAAGCCAGUUCUGCUUCGUGAAAAGGAGACCAAGAAGCAAAAUAUUAAGUGUGAGAGAUUAUCGCCUAUGCCCAGGACUACCUUCAGAAGAUCGGUUCCUUUUAUGAAUACCUUUGUGAAGCAUCUGAUAGAGCUUUUGGACCCGGAAGCGGUGCUGUGUGAUGUCAGACAAACAAGCGGAUGGGAUUUGGUUGGACCCAGGAUUCCAGUGGCAUUAUGAUCAGCUGGUUACAGUGCACCUCACACCCUGUGACCCACUGGAGAAUGCAAACAACUGGAAGAGAUGACAAACAUGGUGGAGCAGGCGACCACUACAGAGGGACAGGUGGAGGCAGCGAACACUAUGGAAGGGCAGCUGGAGCAGGCGAGCACUACGAAGG
Paramisgurnus dabryanus is the source of this 1229-nucleotide non-coding RNA. Lineage: Eukaryota; Metazoa; Chordata; Actinopteri; Cypriniformes; Cobitidae. The record is from RefSeq and is a predicted model, not a curated record.